This 504-nucleotide ribosomal RNA is filed under the name uncultured archaeon. Its description in RNAcentral is "bacterial SSU rRNA". It matches the Rfam family "Archaeal small subunit ribosomal RNA", at positions 1 to 508 of the family's 1478-position model. The record is from RNAcentral.
UUCCGGUUGAUCCCGCCGGAGGUUACUGCUAUCGAGGUUCGACUAAGCCAUGCGAGUCGAAUGUCCGUAAGGACAUGGCGAACUGCUCAGUAACACGUGGACAACCUGCCCUUUGGACAGGGAUACCCCUGGGAAACUGGGACUAAUCCCUGAUAAGUCUCCGUAGCUGGAAUGCUCGGAGACGGAAAGCUCCGGCGCCACAGGAUGGGUCUGCGGCCUAUCAGGGUAGUAGUGGGUGUAGAGUACCUACUAGCCUACGACGGGUACGGGUUGUGAGAGCAAGAGCCCGGAGAUGGAUUCUGAGACACGAAUCCAGGCCCUACGGGGUGCAGCAGGCGCGAAAACUUUACAAUGCGGGACACCGCGAUAAGGGGACCUCGAGUGCUGGCAUACAAUGCUGGCUGUCCAGCUGCCUAAAUAGCAGUUGAUAGCAAGGGCCGGGCAAGACCGGUGCCAGCCGCCGCGGUAACACCGGCGGCUCGAGUGUGAUCCGCUAUUAUUUGG